RNAcentral lists this transfer RNA (58 nucleotides) under Clostridium botulinum. Its description in RNAcentral is "tRNA-Met". It matches the Rfam family "tRNA", at positions 8 to 63 of the family's 71-position model. Rfam says of the family: Transfer RNA (tRNA) molecules are approximately 80 nucleotides in length. Their secondary structure includes four short double-helical elements and three loops (D, anti-codon, and T loops). Further hydrogen bonds mediate the characteristic L-shaped molecular structure. tRNAs have two regions of fundamental functional importance: the anti-codon, which is responsible for specific mRNA codon recognition, and the 3' end, to which the tRNAs corresponding amino acid is attached (by aminoacyl-tRNA synthetases). tRNAs cope with the degeneracy of the genetic code in two manners: having more than one tRNA (with a specific anti-codon) for a particular amino acid; and 'wobble' base-pairing, i.e. permitting non-standard base-pairing at the 3rd anti-codon position. The record is from RNAcentral. Lineage: Bacteria; Bacillati; Bacillota; Clostridia; Eubacteriales; Clostridiaceae.
UGGAGCAGUUGGCAGCUCGUCGGGCUCAUAACCCGAAGGUCGUAGGUUCAAGUCCUGC